GGGUAUAGCUCAGUGGUAGAGUGUGUGCUUAGCAUGCACGAGGUCCUGGGUUCAAUCCCCAGUGCCACCA
RNAcentral lists this transfer RNA (70 nucleotides) under Camelus bactrianus (Bactrian camel). It matches the Rfam family "tRNA". Rfam says of the family: Transfer RNA (tRNA) molecules are approximately 80 nucleotides in length. RNAcentral also lists the same sequence under 1 other name. Lineage: Eukaryota; Metazoa; Chordata; Mammalia; Artiodactyla; Camelidae. The record is from Rfam by way of RNAcentral.